AAACUUCAAAAACAUUACUAAAAUCAGAGGUUGCCAGAAUCAUGAUAUGGACCUUUGGACACGGUUAAUACCAUUAACAGCCUACUGUAAUGAAUCAAAUAAUAUUGAAAUGAAUUUAUUAGCAACUGAUCAGAUCAUAGGUAACAAACUCAUUUAGUUCAUGUCCAUUGUACAUAAUUCCCCCUGACAUCUUCAAAAAUUAGAUUGACUGUAAUCAGCAUGUCAGUAACAUAAUAAUGCAAAUUAUCUAAGAAUUCAGGAUAUUAUAUUAUUUUAUUU
This 279-nucleotide long non-coding RNA is filed under the name Panax ginseng (ginseng). RNAcentral describes it as "long non-coding RNA (PGIN_LNC019096)". The record is from RNAcentral. Lineage: Eukaryota; Viridiplantae; Streptophyta; Magnoliopsida; Apiales; Araliaceae.